Molecule: ribosomal RNA, 402 nt
Filed under: Daedaleopsis sp. BAB-3994
Lineage: Eukaryota; Fungi; Basidiomycota; Agaricomycetes; Polyporales; Polyporaceae
Description: eukaryotic LSU rRNA
Rfam family: 5.8S ribosomal RNA (bases 1-118)
Source: RNAcentral
UAUUAGAUACUUGGUGAUGCGAUACUUGGUGUGAAUUGCAGAAUUCAGUGAAUCAUCGAAUCUUUGAACGCACCUUGCGCUCCUUGGUAUUCCGAGGAGCAUGCCUGUUUGAGUGUCAUGAAAUUCUCAACCUAACGAGUCUUUGCGGGCUCGGUAGGAUUGGACUUGGAGGUUCUUGUCGGCCUGCUUCCACGGGGUUUCGGGUUCCUCCCAAAGGCAUUUAGUUGGGUUCCUUGCGGAUCGGCUCCCGGUGUGAUAAUUGUCUACGCCGCGACCGUGAAGCGUUUGGCGAGCUUCUAAUCCGUCUCACUAGAGACAAUACACUUAUGACCUCUGACCUCAAAUCAGGUAGGACUACCCGCUGAACUUAAGCAUAUCAAUAAGCGGAGGAAAGAGGAGGAA